CGGCGAUGAUGAUAAAAAGGCCGGGCUUACAGCUGCCAUGUGCUUCCACUGGUAGUAGCUUGAUGAGUGUUUCUCUGAAGGUGUUUUUUGAGCCGG
Small nucleolar RNA from Arachis stenosperma, 96 nucleotides. RefSeq annotates it as small nucleolar RNA snoR113. Lineage: Eukaryota; Viridiplantae; Streptophyta; Magnoliopsida; Fabales; Fabaceae. The transcript has a single exon. The record is from RefSeq and is a predicted model, not a curated record.